GGCUAGACAGACGGCAUAAAAUCAUGGGUACAUUUUAUUUCCUUUAGUAGUGUUACUUCCUUUUUUCUCCGAAUUCAUCGUUUCCACUUCUAAUUAGCUUCUAGACUGGUUUUUCAUUUAGCCUAGAGUCUAUCGGAAACAUCUUUUGUACCUUAGAUAUAGAUAUAAGGCUUGUGUACACUGUACCUUCCCCAGACCCCGCUACAUUGUGUAACUUG
This 218-nucleotide unclassified non-coding RNA is filed under the name Hevea brasiliensis (rubber tree). The record is from RNAcentral. Lineage: Eukaryota; Viridiplantae; Streptophyta; Magnoliopsida; Malpighiales; Euphorbiaceae.